RNAcentral lists this ribosomal RNA (917 nucleotides) under Spirochaetaceae bacterium enrichment culture clone B31131. RNAcentral describes it as "bacterial SSU rRNA". It matches the Rfam family "Bacterial small subunit ribosomal RNA", at positions 8 to 916 of the family's 1533-position model. Lineage: Bacteria; Pseudomonadati; Spirochaetota; Spirochaetia; Spirochaetales; Spirochaetaceae. The record is from RNAcentral.
AGAGUUUGAUCAUGGCUCAGAACAAACGCUGGCGGCGUGUCUUAAGCAUGCAAGUCGAGCGGCAAGGCGGGGCGACCCGCCCUAGAGCGGCGGACUGGUGAGUAACGCGUGGGUAAUCUACCUUGGGCAUGGGGAUAGCCAUUAGAAAUAGUGGGUAAUACCGAAUACGCUCGCGGGGGGAAGGGUCCUGUGAGGAAAGGGUGCUACGGCACCGGCCUGAGAUGAGCUCGCGUCCCAUUAGCUAGUUGGUGAGGUAAGGGCCCACCAAGGCGAUGAUGGGUAGCCGGCCUGAGAGGGUGUACGGCCACACUGGGACUGAGAUACGGCCCAGACUCCUACGGGAGGCAGCAGCUAAGAAUAUUCCGCAAUGGACGAAAGUCUGACGGAGCGACGCCGCGUGGAUGAGGAAGGCCGAAAGGUUGUAAAGUUCUUUUGCGAGGGAAGAAUAACCGCAGGAGGGAAUGCCUGUGGGAUGACAUGAACUUGCGAAUAAGCCCCGGCCAACUACGUGCCAGCAGCCGCGGUAACACGUAGGGGGCGAGCGUUGUUCGGAAUUACUGGGCGUAAAGGGCAUGUAGGCGGUCUGGUAAGCCUGGCGUGAAAGACCACAGCUUAACUGUGGGGUUGCGUUGGGAACUGCUGGGCUUGAGUGACGGAGAGGGAGCUGGAAUUCCUGGUGUAGGGGUGAAAUCUGUAGAUAUCAGGAAGAACACCGAUGGCGAAGGCAAGCUCCUGGCCGAUGACUGACGCUGAGGUGCGAAAGUGUGGGGAUCAAACAGGAUUAGAUACCCUGGUAGUCCACACGGUAAACGAUGUGCACUAGGUGCUGGGGCGGUAGCCUCGGUGCCGGAGCGAACGUGGUAAGUGCACCGCCUGGGGAGUAUGCUCGCAAGGGUGAAACUCAAAGGAAUUGACGG